Molecule: RNA transcript, 1951 nt
Organism: Gossypium arboreum
Lineage: Eukaryota; Viridiplantae; Streptophyta; Magnoliopsida; Malvales; Malvaceae
Gene name: probable WRKY transcription factor 31
Exons: 5
Source: RefSeq, a predicted model, not a curated record
AUACUUCUCCCUUUCUUCUAAAGGUCUUAACGCCCUUUUAAUUGCCGAGUCCUCUGCACCGUUCAAACACUCUCUUCUUCAUCUCUUUCUUUUGUUUCUUUCUUCUUCAUCAAUGGCGAAAACCAGUGGACUCUCCAUUGAUUUUGAUCCAAACUAUUUCUUAAUACACAACCCACCUGUCCUCAAUUCUUUCCCCGAAUACACUCCCAAAGACACCAACAAAAACAACAACAACAACAAUACAAUGUUUUCUGGUACUACAACAACGCCGGAAAACAUGUCUCUGCCAUCUACCGUCGACCGGUUCCCCGUUAAAUUCGACUGUUUUUACGAUCAAACCCGCCCUUCUUUUUUACCCUCCGAUGAUGAUAAACGAAGGGUCGUCGGUGAACUGGAUUUUUUCGCUGAAAAAAACGAUAAACUCGUCGAUGAUGCUGAUUUCAUGCACACUUCCGAUGCCGGACUUGAGCUUAACGUCAACAUUGGUCUAAACCUGUUAACUACAAAUACCAGUGCCGAUCAGUCCACCAUGGAAGAUAAAAAAGCUAAUAAUGAGGUAGCUGUUUUACGAGCUAAGCUGGUACAAAUGAACGCUGAGAAUGAAAGAUUAAAGGAGAUGUUGAUUCAGGCAACUGAGAACUAUAAUACAAUGAAGAUUCAUUUGUGUUCAUUGAUGAUGAAAAAGCUAAAGAAGAAGAUGAAGAAAAUAAGAAACGAAAUGGUGGAAUAAUAGUGCCAAGACAGUUUAUAGAUCUUGGUUUAGCUGUCGCCGCCGAAGCCGAUGAGUCGUCUCCGUCGUCUCCGGAAGGCAAGAGCCAGCGUGAAGAUAGCUCCGGUGGUGAUAACAAGGUUCCGAGACUCGAUGUUGAUCAAAGUGAGGCCGCCAUGAGAAAAGCACGAGUUUCCGUUCGAGCUAGAUCAGAGGCUCCGAUGAUUACGGAUGGAUGUCAAUGGAGGAAGUACGGACAGAAAAUGGCAAAGGGAAAUCCGUGUCCACGAGCAUAUUAUCGAUGUACUAUGGCUACCGGUUGUCCCGUUAGAAAACAGGUUCAAAGAUGUGCCGAAGAUCGAACAAUUCUUAUCACCACAUACGAAGGCAAUCACAACCACACUUUGCCUCCAUCGGCGAUGUCGAUGGCAUCGACGACGUCAUCAGCAGCACGAAUGUUGGUAUCGGGUUCAACGUCUAGUCCCGACGGACUGAUGAACUCGAAUCUCCUCACCACAACUCUCCUGCCUUGCUCUUCCACCAUGGCUACUGUAUCGGCUUCAACUCCAUUCCCCAGCGUUACCUUGGAUUUAACACAGUCCUCGUUUUCGACCCCUCCGCCGCCUUACAACGUUGCCAAUUCUGUAGCGGUUACCGCCCCAUUGGUGCCUCAAGUUUCCGGCCAGGCACAUGACAAUCUGUCCAAAUUCGCCGGUAUACAAAUGUCUAAAGAUUUGGAUCGGUUGCAACAGGGUGAACAAAAUUCAAUUGGUGACACUGUAAAUGCGGCCACGGGAGCCAUUGCGACGGACCCGAGCUUCGCCGCUGCUCUAGCCGCGGCUAUUACAUCUAUUAUUGCGAGUUCUCAAUCUCACCCCAAUAAUGGCCAUAAUAGCAAUGCAAUGUAGGACAACAAUGAAAUACAGUUUUGUUGCAAUAUUUUGUCAAACAAAGAAAUGUUUACAAGGGUAGUGUAGUAAUAUUCUUUCCUCAAAUGACUUAUUUGGUCCAAAAAGUAUGUCAAUGCAAAGUCAAGAAAAUAAUAUAAAAUGAAAGGGAAAUUUAUUUAUUUCUAUCGAUUAGUUGAUAUACUUUAUGCGUAUAUGCAAGUAAUAUCUUACACUUUAAAGAUUAAAAAAUUAUAAAUAUUAAAGAAUUAUUUACCAAUUUAUUAUAAUUUGUAAUUUUUAUAUAGAAUAAUUGUAAUUGAGAUAGAAAAAGAGAUGAUGAAUUAUCAAGAAA